AUGAACGCUGGCGGCGUGCCUAAUACAUGCCAGUCGCGCGAACAGAUAAGGAGCUUGCUCCUUUGACGUUAGCGGCGGACGGGUGAGUAACACGUGGGUAACCUACCUAUAAGACUGGGAUAACUUCGGGAAACCGGAGCUAAUACCGGAUAACAUUUGGAACCGCAUGGUUCUAAAGUGAAAGAUGGUUUUGCUAUCACUUAUAGAUGGACCCGCGCCGUAUUAGCUAGUUGGUAAGGUAACGGCUUACCAAGGCGACGAUACGUAGCCGACCUGAGAGGGUGAUCGGCCACCCUGGAACUGAGACACGGUCCAGACUCCUACGGGAGGCAGCAGUAGGGAAUCUUCCGCAAUGGGCGAAAGCCUGACGGAGCAACGCCGCGUGAGUGAUGAAGGGUUUCGGCUCGUAAAACUCUGUUAUUAGGGAAGAACAAAUGUGUAAGUAACUGUGCACGUCUUGACGGUACCUAAUCAGAAAGCCACGGCUAACUACGUG
Molecule: ribosomal RNA, 496 nt
Filed under: uncultured bacterium
Lineage: Bacteria
Description: partial 16S ribosomal RNA
Rfam family: Bacterial small subunit ribosomal RNA
Source: RNAcentral